GACAACGGCUCUGACCGUCUGGCAGGCCGCGUGGCGCCCGCGCCGGCCUUCCUGCAGGGGACUCCACCGGAGCCUUGCCAAUUCCGUUUGUUUCCCUGUUGUCGCCCGCUUCACCCUGGAUCAUGUUCAAGAAGUUUGAUGAAAAGGAAAGUGUGUCCAACUGCAUCCAGUUGAAAACGUCAGUUAUUAAGGGCAUUAAGAGCCAACUGGUAGAGCAAUUUCCAGGUAUUGAACCAUGGCUUAAUCAAAUCAUGCCUAAGAAAGAUCCUGUCAAAAUAGUCCGAUGCCACGAACAUACAGAAAUCCUUACCGUAAGUGGGGAAUUAUUGUUUUUUAGACAAAGAAAGGGGCCUUUUUGUCCAACUCUAAGGUUGCUUCACAAAUACCCUUUUAUCCUGCCACACCAGCAGGUUGAUAAAGGAGCUAUCAAAUUUGUACUCAGUGGCGCAAAUAUUAUGUGUCCAGGUUUAACUUCUCCUGGAGCUAAGCUGUACCCUGCUGCAGUAGAUACGAUUGUAGCAGUCACAGCGGAAGGAAAACAGCAUGCUCUGUGUGUUGGGGUCAUGAAGAUGUCUGCAGAAGAUAUUGAGAAAGUCAACAAAGGAAUUGGCAUUGAAAAUAUCCAUUAUUUAAAUGAUGGGCUGUGGCACAUGAAGACAUAUAAAUGAGCCUCAGAAGGAAUGCAUUUGGGGGGCUAAAUGUGGAUAUUGAUUGUGUCGUAUGUGUGUUUGUGUCUGUGUGUGACAGCGUGAAUACAAUGCCUCUGUGGUUAUGCUAAAUAAGUUUAACAGAUACUUUAUAGAAAACAAAUCAGGGUGCUCUUACCACAGAUGAA
Molecule: long non-coding RNA, 835 nt
Filed under: Homo sapiens (human)
Lineage: Eukaryota; Metazoa; Chordata; Mammalia; Primates; Hominidae
Description: non-protein coding lnc-ID1-4:1
Source: RNAcentral